RNAcentral lists this ribosomal RNA (466 nucleotides) under uncultured bacterium. Its description in RNAcentral is "partial 16S ribosomal RNA". It matches the Rfam family "Bacterial small subunit ribosomal RNA", at positions 28 to 507 of the family's 1533-position model. The record is from RNAcentral.
GAUGAACGCUGGCGGCGCGCCUAACACAUGCAAGUCGAACGAGCGAGAGAGAGCUUGCUUUCUCAAGCGAGUGGCGAACGGGUGAGUAACGCGUGAGGAACCUGCCUCAAAGAGGGGGACAACAGUUGGAAACGACUGCUAAUACCGCAUAAGCCCACGACCCGGCAUCGGGUAGAGGGAAAAGGAGCAAUCCGCUUUGAGAUGGCCUCGCGUCCGAUUAGCUAGUUGGUGAGGUAACGGCCCACCAAGGCGACGAUCGGUAGCCGGACUGAGAGGUUGAACGGCCACAUUGGGACUGAGACACGGCCCAGACUCCUACGGGAGGCAGCAGUGGGGAAUAUUGCACAAUGGGGGAAACCCUGAUGCAGCGACGCCGCGUGGAGGAAGAAGGUCUUCGGAUUGUAAACUCCUGUUGUUGAGGAAGAUAAUGACGGUACUCAACAAGGAAGUGACGGCUAACUACGUG